This 463-nucleotide long non-coding RNA is filed under the name Homo sapiens (human). RNAcentral's name for it is "non-protein coding lnc-DNAH5-3:1". The record is from RNAcentral. Lineage: Eukaryota; Metazoa; Chordata; Mammalia; Primates; Hominidae.
ACAUGGCGGAGACCAAGAAUCACACCACACACAACCAGUCCUGAAAAUGGCACAGAAACGGUAUCAAGAAACCCCGAUCACAAAGAUAUGACUCUCUUAAGAGGGUGGACCCCAAGUUCCUGAGCAACAUGCACUUUGCCAAGAAGCACAAGAAGGGCCUAAAGAAGAUGCAGGCCAACAAUGCCAAGGCCAUGAGUGCACGCGCUGAGGCUAUCAAGAUCCUCGUAAAGCCCAAAGAGGUUGAGCCUAAGACCCCAAAGGGUGUCAGCUGCAAGCUAGAUCGACUUGCCUACAUUGCCCACCCCAAGCUUGGGAAGCGUGCUCGUGCCCGCAUUGCCAAGGGGCUCAGGCUAUGCCAGCCAAAGGCCAAGGCCAAGGAUCAAACCAAGGCCCUGGCUGCAGCUCCAGCUUCAGUUCCAGCUCAGGCUCCCAGAGGUGCCCAGGGCCCUACAAAGGCUUCAGA